RNAcentral lists this ribosomal RNA (1346 nucleotides) under uncultured bacterium. RNAcentral's name for it is "partial 16S ribosomal RNA". It matches the Rfam family "Bacterial small subunit ribosomal RNA", at positions 28 to 1381 of the family's 1533-position model. The record is from RNAcentral.
GACGAACGCUGGCGGCGUGCUUAACACAUGCAAGUCGAACGGAAAGGCCCUGCUUUUGUGGGGUGCUCGAGUGGCGAACGGGUGAGUAACACGUGAGUAACCUGCCCUUGACUUUGGGAUAACUUCAGGAAACUGGGGCUAAUACCGGAUAGGAGCUCCUGCUGCAUGGUGGGGGUUGGAAAGUUUCGGCGGUUGGGGAUGGACUCGCGGCUUAUCAGCUUGUUGGUGGGGUAGUGGCUUACCAAGGCUUUGACGGGUAGCCGGCCUGAGAGGGUGACCGGCCACAUUGGGACUGAGAUACGGCCCAGACUCCUACGGGAGGCAGCAGUGGGGAAUAUUGCACAAUGGGCGGAAGCCUGAUGCAGCAACGCCGCGUGCGGGAUGACGGCCUUCGGGUUGUAAACCGCUUUCGCCUGUGACGAAGCGUGAGUGACGGUAAUGGGUAAAGAAGCACCGGCUAACUACGUGCCAGCAGCCGCGGUGAUACGUAGGGUGCGAGCAUUGUCCGGAUUUAUUGGGCGUAAAGGGCUCGUAGGUGGUUGAUCGCGUCGGAAGUGUAAUCUUGGGGCUUAACCCUGAGCGUGCUUUCGAUACGGGUUGACUUGAGGAAGGUAGGGGAGAAUGGAAUUCCUGGUGGAGCGGUGGAAUGCGCAGAUAUCAGGAGGAACACCAGUGGCGAAGGCGGUUCUCUGGGCCUUUCCUGACGCUGAGGAGCGAAAGCGUGGGGAGCGAACAGGCUUAGAUACCCUGGUAGUCCACGCUGUAAACGGUGGGUACUAGGUGUGGGGUCCAUUCCACGGGUUCCGUGCCGUAGCUAACGCUUUAAGUACCCCGCCUGGGGAGUACGGCCGCAAGGCUAAAACUCGAAGGAAUUGACGGGGCCCCGCACAAGCGGCGGAGCAUGCGGAUUAAUUCGAUGCAACGCGUAGAACCUUACCUGGGUUUGACAUGGAUCGGGAGUGCUCAGAGAUGGGUGUGCCUCUUUUGGGGUCGGUUCACAGGUGGUGCAUGGCUGUCGUCAGCUCGUGUCGUGAGAUGUUGGGUUAAGUCCCGCAACGAGCGCAACCCUUGUUCACUGUUGCCAGCACGUUAUGGUGGGGACUCAGUGGAGACCGCCGGGGUCAACUCGGAGGAAGGUGGGGAUGACGUCAAGUCAUCAUGCCCCUUAUGUCCAGGGCUUCACGCAUGCUACAAUGGCUGGUACAGAGAGUGGCGAGCCUGUGAGGGUGAGCGAAUCUCGGAAAGCCGGUCUCAGUUCGGAUUGGGGUCUGCAACUCGACCUCAUGAAGUCGGAGUCGCUAGUAGUCGCAGAUCAGCAACGCUGCGGUGAAUACGUUCCCGGGGCU